AGUGAACGCUGGCGGUAGGCCUAACACAUGCAAGUCGAACGGCAGCACAGUAAGAGCUUGCUCUUACGGGUGGCGAGUGGCGGACGGGUGAGGAAUACAUCGGAAUCUACUUUUUCGUGGGUGAUAACGUAGGGAAACUUACGCUAAUACCGCAUACGACCUACGGGUGAAAGCAGGGGAUCUUCGUACCUUGCGCGAUUGAAUGAGCCGAUGUCGGAUUAGCUAGUUGGCGGGGUAAAGGCCCACCAAGGCGACGAUCCGUAGCUGGUCUGAGAGGAUGAUCAGCCACACUGGAACUGAGACACGGUCCAGACUCCAACGGGAGGCAGCAGUGGGGAAGCUUGGACAAUGGGCGGAAGCCUGAUCCAGCCACACCGCGUGGGUGAAGAAGGCCUUCGGGUUGUAAAGCCCUGUUAUUGGGAAAGAAAAGCAGCAGAUUAAUACCCCGAUGUUCUGACGGUACCCAAAGAAUAAGCACCGGCUAACUACGUG
RNAcentral lists this ribosomal RNA (492 nucleotides) under uncultured bacterium. Its description in RNAcentral is "partial 16S ribosomal RNA". It matches the Rfam family "Bacterial small subunit ribosomal RNA", at positions 29 to 507 of the family's 1533-position model. The record is from RNAcentral.